Molecule: ribosomal RNA, 255 nt
Filed under: uncultured bacterium
Lineage: Bacteria
Description: partial 16S ribosomal RNA
Rfam family: Bacterial small subunit ribosomal RNA
Source: RNAcentral
UACGUAGGGUGCAAGCGUUGUCCGGAAUUAUUGGGCGUAAAGAGCUCGUAGGCGGUCUGUCGCGUCUGCUGUGAAAACUCAGGGCUUAACCCUGAGCUUGCAGUGGGUACGGGCAGACUAGAGUGCAGUAGGGGAGACUGGAAUUCCUGGUGUAGCGGUGAAAUGCGCAGAUAUCAGGAGGAACACCGGUGGCGAAGGCGGGUCUCUGGGCCGUAACUGACGCUGGAGGAGCGGAAAGCAUGGGGAGCGAACAGG